GACGUAGGGCGCGAGCGUUGUCCGGAUUUAUUGGGCGUAAAGAGCGUGUAGGCGGCCAGGUAGGUCUGGUGUGAAAACUCGAGGCUUAACCUCGAGAUGUCAUCGGAAACCAUCUGGCUAGAGUCCGGAAGAGGAGAGUGGAAUUCCUGGUGUAGCGGUGAAAUGCGCAGAUAUCAGGAAGAACACCCGUGGCGAAGGCGGCUCUCUGGGACGGUACUGACGCUGAGACGCGAAAGCGUGGGGAGCGAACAGG
Molecule: ribosomal RNA, 253 nt
Filed under: uncultured bacterium
Lineage: Bacteria
Description: partial 16S ribosomal RNA
Rfam family: Bacterial small subunit ribosomal RNA
Source: RNAcentral